This 838-nucleotide ribosomal RNA is filed under the name Diplodia sapinea. Its description in RNAcentral is "eukaryotic LSU rRNA". It matches the Rfam family "Eukaryotic large subunit ribosomal RNA", at positions 87 to 943 of the family's 3401-position model. The record is from RNAcentral. Lineage: Eukaryota; Fungi; Ascomycota; Dothideomycetes; Botryosphaeriales; Botryosphaeriaceae. RNAcentral also lists the same sequence under 1 other name.
CGGCGAGUGAAGCGGCAACAGCUCAAAUUUGAAAGCUGGCCCUUUCAGGGUCCGCGUUGUAAUUUGUAGAGGAUGAUUCGGCGAGGGCUCCCGCCUAAGUCCCCUGGAACGGGGCGUCAUAGAGGGUGAGAAUCCCGUAUGCGGUGGGCUGCCUUAGCCAUGUGAAUCUCCUUCGACGAGUCGAGUUGUUUGGGAAUGCAGCUCUAAAUGGGAGGUAAAUUUCUUCUAAAGCUAAAUACCGGCCAGAGACCGAUAGCGCACAAGUAGAGUGAUCGAAAGAUGAAAAGCACUUUGGAAAGAGAGUUAAAAAGUACGUGAAAUUGUUGAAAGGGAAGCGCUUGCAACCAGACUUGUCCGCAGUUGCUCAGCCGGUCUCCUGACCGGCGUACUCUUCUGCGGCCAGGCCAGCAUCAGUUCGGGCGGUCGGAUAAAGACCUCGGGAAUGUAGCUCCUCUCGGGGAGUGUUAUAGCCCGGGGUGGAAUGCGGCCAGCCUGGACUGAGGAUCUCGCUUCGGCAAGGAUGCUGGCGUAAUGGUUGUAAGCGGCCCGUCUUGAAACACGGACCAAGGAGUCUAACAUCUAUGCGAGUGUUUGGGUGUCAAACCCAUACGCGUAAUGAAAGUGAACGGAGGUGGGAACCCGCAAGGGUGCACCAUCGGCCGAUCCUGAUGUCUUCGGAUGGAUUUGAGCAAGAGCAUAGCUGUUGGGACCCGAAAGAUGGUGAACUAUGCCUGAAUAGGGUGAAGCCAGAGGAAACUCUGGUGGAGGCUCGCAGCGGUUCUGACGUGCAAAUCGAUCGUCAAAUUUGGGUAUAGGGGCGAAAGACUAAUCGAACCAU